RNAcentral lists this ribosomal RNA (492 nucleotides) under uncultured bacterium. RNAcentral's name for it is "partial 16S ribosomal RNA". It matches the Rfam family "Bacterial small subunit ribosomal RNA", at positions 29 to 507 of the family's 1533-position model. The record is from RNAcentral.
AGUGCACGCUGGCGGUAGGCCUAACACAUGCAAGUCGAACGGCAGCACAGUAAGAGCUUGCUCUUACGGGUGGCGAGUGGCGGACGGGUGAGGAAUACAUCGGAAUCUACUUUUUCGUGGGGGAUAACGUAGGGAAACUUACGCUAAUACCGCAUACGACCUACGGGUGAAAGCAGGGGAUCUUCGGACCUUGCGCGAUUGAAUGAGCCGAUGUCGGAUUAGCUAGUUGGCGGGGUAAAGGCCCACCAAGGCGACGAUCCGUAGCUGGUCUGAGAGGAUGAUCAGCCACACUGGAACUGAGACACGGUCCAGACUCCUACGGGAGGCAGCAGUGGGGAAUAUUGGACAAUGGGCGCAAGCCUGAUCCAGCCAUACCGCGUGGGUGAAGAAGGCCUUCGGGUUGUAAAGCCCUUUUGUUGGGAAAGAAAAGCGGCAGGUUAAUACCCCGCUGUUCUGACGGUACCCAAAGAAUAAGCACCGGCUAACUUCGUG